UCGCAAUAGAUGGAGCCGCCUGUUUUGGAGACUCUGGAGGUCCAUUGUUUAAGUUUGUACUGGAUGAAAGUGGCAUAAAGAAGCCUGUUCUAAUGGGAGUAAUGAGUUAUGUGCUUUGGGGAACCUGUAAAAGCCGGUUUGAUCCGUCCUACUACACUCUCACCCAGCACAAUCUAGACUUCAUUUUUAAAUAUGUCUCCAAGGAUGAGAUGUGUUACGGAUCUGGGAAAAGUAUAUCGAUGCAUAAAAAGACAAAAGGAUUCUAAUUUUAUCUAAUUAUAUUUAUUUUAUUGUAUUCAUUAUUGGAAAUAAAAUAAUAUUGGUUUAAA
Long non-coding RNA from Eurytemora carolleeae, 329 nucleotides. RefSeq lists it as uncharacterized. The transcript has 5 exons. Lineage: Eukaryota; Metazoa; Arthropoda; Copepoda; Calanoida; Temoridae. The record is from RefSeq and is a predicted model, not a curated record.